RNAcentral lists this unclassified non-coding RNA (460 nucleotides) under Polyscytalum sp. OTU_067. RNAcentral's name for it is "sequence contains ITS1, 5.8S rRNA gene and ITS2". The stretch from base 158 to 311 matches the Rfam family "5.8S ribosomal RNA". The record is from RNAcentral. Lineage: Eukaryota; Fungi; Ascomycota; Sordariomycetes; Amphisphaeriales; Phlogicylindriaceae.
CAGAGUCGUAAAAAACUCCCAACCCUAUGUGAACUUACCAUUGUUGCCUCGGCGGACCUACCCUGUAGCUACCCUGUAGCUGCCUGGCAGUUCCGCCGGUGGACCACUAAACUAUUGUUAUUUAUGGAUAUCUGAGCGUUUUAAACAAAUAAGUUAAAACUUUCAACAACGGAUCUCUUGGUUCUGGCAUCGAUGAAGAACGCAGCGAAAUGCGAUAAGUAAUGUGAAUUGCAGAAUUCAGUGAAUCAUCGAAUCUUUGAACGCACAUUGCGCCCAUUAGUAUUCUAUUGGGCAUGCCUGUUCGAGCGUCAUUUUGACCACUUAAGCCUGGCUUAGUGUUGGGAAUCUACGUCUGUAGUUCCUUAAAUCUAGUGGCGGAGCCGCAGUGGCCUCUGAGCGUAGUAAUUUUUUCUCGCUUCUGAAAGUACUGUAGUUUUUGCCAUUAAACCCCCAAUUUUUU